Molecule: ribosomal RNA, 387 nt
Filed under: Triticum aestivum (bread wheat)
Lineage: Eukaryota; Viridiplantae; Streptophyta; Magnoliopsida; Poales; Poaceae
Description: partial small subunit ribosomal RNA
Source: RNAcentral
AUGGCAACGAAGGAAUAUUUCUUCCGCUAUGGGUCCUUCUCAAUUAAGGAUGGCUCGAAAAUUAGAUUUUGUGAGGAUAAAUGGUUAGGUAAUGAUACUCUCCGGGAACAAUAUCCAGCUCUAUACAAUAUUGUACGUCACAAGGGUGAUACUAUUGCCAAGGUUUUGGAAUCAUUUCCGCCAAAUGUGAUGUUUAGAAGGGAUUUAAUUGGACCUAGACUCCAAUCAUGGAACAUACUACUUCAACGAUUAACCACGGCACAAUUGUCAUAGGGGUCCGAUUUAUCUCGUUGGAACCUACAUGGGAAUGGGCAAUUCUCAGUGGAGUCUAUGUAUAGAGCUUUGAUCCAGUCUGACAUGCCAGUUGAUAAUAAGAAGAAGAUCUAG